Long non-coding RNA from Notolabrus celidotus (New Zealand spotty), 187 nucleotides. RefSeq lists it as uncharacterized. The transcript is spliced from 2 exons. Lineage: Eukaryota; Metazoa; Chordata; Actinopteri; Labriformes; Labridae. The record is from RefSeq and is a predicted model, not a curated record.
AUUCAAACGCAGUAUGUAGUAGGGAGUACCUACUGCCUACUACAAUCGACCCAUCUGCAGCCAGCUCCGCCACCUUCCUCACUCACCUGCCUGUUCACUACCGUCUGGAUCCCUCCCUCAGCACCCCAGGACCCCCACCAGCUAUCACUUCACCCUGCACUUCUGUAAUAAAACUUUGGAAACAAGA